Molecule: ribosomal RNA, 860 nt
Filed under: Tetragenococcus halophilus
Lineage: Bacteria; Bacillati; Bacillota; Bacilli; Lactobacillales; Enterococcaceae
Description: bacterial SSU rRNA
Rfam family: Bacterial small subunit ribosomal RNA
Source: RNAcentral
CCGAGCACGCCACGUGAGUGAAGAAGGUUUUCGGAUCGUAAAGCUCUGUUGUCAGCAAAGAACAGGAGAAAGAGGCAAAUGCUUUUUCUAUGACGGUUUAGCUGACCAGAAAGCCCACGGCUAACUAUCGUGCCAGCAGCCGCGGUAAUUACGUAAGGUGGCAAGCGUUGUCCGGAUUUAUUGGGCGUAAAGCGAAGCGCAGGCGGUGAUUUAAGUCUGAUGUGAAAGGCCCCCCAGCUCAACUGGGGAGGGGUCAUUUGGAAAACUGGAUCACUUGAGUGCAGAAGAGGAGAGUGGAAUUCCAUGUGUUAGCGGUGAAAAUGCGUAGAUAUAUGUGAGGAACACCAGUGGCGAAGGCGGCUCUCUGGUCUGUAACUGACGCUGAGGCUCGAAAGCGUGGGUAGCAAACAGGAUUAGAUACCCUGGUAGUCCACGCCGUAAACGAUGAGUGCUAAGUGUUGGAGGGUUUCCGCCCUUCAGUGCUGCAGUUAACGCAUUAAGCACUCCGCCUGGGGAGUACGACCGCAAGGUUGAAACUCAAAGGAAUUGACGGGGCCCGCACAAGCGGUGGAGCAUGUGGUUUAAUUCGAAGCAACGCGAAGAACCUUACCAGGUCUUGACAUCCUUUGACCGCCCUAGAGAUAGGGUUUCCCCUUCGGGGGCAAAGUGACAGGUGGUGCAUGGUUGUCGUCAGCUCGUGUCGUGAGAUGUUGGGUUAAGUCCCGUAGCGAGCGCAACCCUUAUUGUUAGUUGCCAGCAUUGCGUUGGGCACUCUAGCAAGACUGCCGGUGACAAACCGGAGGAAGGCGGGGAUGACGUCAAAUCAUCAUGCCCCUUUAUGACCUGGGCUACACACGUGC